AGAGUUUGAUCCUGGCUCAGACGAACGCUGGCGGCAGGCCUAACACAUGCAAUGUCGAACGCGUGUAGCAAUACACGAGUGGCGCACGGGUGAGUAACACGUGGGAAUCAACCCAGAGGUUCGGAAUAACCGCGGGAAACUGCGGCUAAUACCGGAUAUCCCCUACGGGGGAAAGAUUUAUCGCCUUUGGACGAGCCCGCGUCCGAUUAGCUAGUUGGUGAGGUAACGGCUCACCAAGGCUCCGAUCGGUAGCUGGUCUGAGAGGACGACCAGCCACACUGGAACUGAGAUACGGUCCAGACUCCUACGGGAGGCAGCAGUGGGGAAUAUUGGGCAAUGGAGGCAACUCUGACCCAGCCAUGCCGCGUGGGUGACGAAGGUCUUCGGAUUGUAAAGCCCUUUCGGCGGGGACGAUGAUGACGGUACCCGCAGAAGAAGCCCCGGCUAACUUCGUGCCAGCAGCCGCGGUAAUACGAAGGGGGCUAGCGUUGUUCGGAAUUACUGGGCGUAAAGCGUGCGCAGGCGGUUCGUUAAGUUCGAUGUGAAAGCCCCGGGCUCAACCUGGGAAUGGCAUUGGAAACUGGCGAGCUUGAGUGUGGCAGAGGGGGGUGGAAUUCCGCGUGUAGCAGUGAAAUGCGUAGAGAUGCGGAGGAACACCGAUGGCGAAGGCAGCCCCCUGGGCCAACACUGACGCUCAGGCACGAAAGCGUGGGGAGCAAACAGGAUUAGAUACCCUGGUUAGUCCACGCCCUAAACGAUGCUCACUAGGUGUUGGGGAAGCGAUUCCUUGGUACCGUAGCUAACGCGUGAAGUGAGCCGCCUGGGGAUACGGCCGCAAGGUUAAACUUAAAGGAAUUGACGG
This 862-nucleotide ribosomal RNA is filed under the name uncultured bacterium. Its description in RNAcentral is "bacterial SSU rRNA". It matches the Rfam family "Bacterial small subunit ribosomal RNA", at positions 8 to 916 of the family's 1533-position model. The record is from RNAcentral.